RNAcentral lists this transfer RNA (75 nucleotides) under Stygiobacter sp. GWC2_38_9. RNAcentral describes it as "Ignavibacteria bacterium GWC2_38_9 tRNA-Asn". It matches the Rfam family "tRNA". From Rfam's summary of the family: Transfer RNA (tRNA) molecules are approximately 80 nucleotides in length. Their secondary structure includes four short double-helical elements and three loops (D, anti-codon, and T loops). Lineage: Bacteria; Pseudomonadati; Ignavibacteriota; Ignavibacteria; Ignavibacteriales; Melioribacteraceae. RNAcentral also lists the same sequence under 8 other names. The record is from RNAcentral.
UCCGCGGUAGCUCAAUGGCAGAGCAUGCGGCUGUUAACCGCAGGGUUGUAGGUUCGAGCCCUACCCGCGGAGCUA